This 468-nucleotide ribosomal RNA is filed under the name uncultured bacterium. Its description in RNAcentral is "partial 16S ribosomal RNA". It matches the Rfam family "Bacterial small subunit ribosomal RNA", at positions 28 to 507 of the family's 1533-position model. The record is from RNAcentral.
GACGAACGCUGGCGGCGUGCUUAACACAUGCAAGUCGAACGGAAAGGCCCUGCUUUUGUGGGGUGCUCGAGUGGCGAACGGGUGAGUAACACGUGAGUAACCUGCCCUUGACUUUGGGAUAACUUCAGGAAACUGGGGCUAAUACCGGAUAGGAGCUCCUGCUGCAUGGUGGGGGUUGGAAAGUUUCGGCGGUUGGGGAUGGACUCGCGGCUUAUCAGCUUGUUGGUGGGGUAGUGGCUUACCAAGGCUUUGACGGGUAGCCGGCCUGAGAGGGUGACCGGCCCCCUUGGGACCGGGGUUCCGGCCCGAACCCUUCGGGGGGCAGGCGGGGGGAAUAUUUCCCCAUGGGCCGAAGCCUGAUGCCGCAACGCCGCCUGCGGGAUGACGGCCUUUGGGUUGGAAACCGCUUUCGCCUGUGACGAAGCGUGAGUGACGGUAAUGGGUAAAGAAGCACCGGCUAACUACGUG